Molecule: transfer RNA, 56 nt
Filed under: Gammarus fossarum
Lineage: Eukaryota; Metazoa; Arthropoda; Malacostraca; Amphipoda; Gammaridae
Description: tRNA-Val
Source: RNAcentral
GAGGGUGAUUAAAAAUUUUCACUUACAAUGAAGAAUACCUUGUUGGGCACUCUCAC